RNAcentral lists this ribosomal RNA (414 nucleotides) under uncultured microorganism. RNAcentral's name for it is "bacterial SSU rRNA". It matches the Rfam family "Archaeal small subunit ribosomal RNA", at positions 330 to 745 of the family's 1478-position model. The record is from RNAcentral.
GUGCAGCAGGCGCGAAACCUCCGCAAUACACGAAAGUGUGACGGGGCCAUCCCGAGUGCCGUCCGCUGAGGACGGCUUUUCCCAGUGUACAUAGCUGGGGGAAUAAGGAGAGGGCAAGCCUGGUGUCAGCCGCCGCGGUAAUACCAGCUCUCCGAGUGGUGGGGACGCUUAUUGGGCCUAAAGCAUCCGUAGCCGGCUGGGCAAGUCCUCCGUUAAAUCCAACGAUUCAAUCGUUGGGCUGCGGGGGAUACUGUCCAGCUCAGGGGCGGGAGAGGCCGACGGUAUUCCCGGGGUAGGGGUGAAAUCCUAUAAUCCCGGGAGGACCACCAGUGGCGAAGGCUGUCGGCUAGAACGCGCCCGACGGUGAGGGGAUGAAAGCUGGGGGAGCGAACCGGAUUAGAUACCCCGGGUAGU